GACGAACGCUGGCGGCGUGCUUAACACACGCAAGUCGAACGGAAAGGCCCUGCUUUUGUGGGGUGCUCGAGUGGCGAACGGGUGAGUAACACGUGAGUAACCUGCCCUUGACUUUGGGAUAACUUCAGGAAACUGGGGCUAAUACCGGAGAGGAGCUCCUGCUGCAUGGUGGGGGUUGGAAAGUUUCGGCGGUUGGGGAUGGACUCGCGGCUUAUCAGCUGGUUGGUGGGGUAGUGGCUUACCAAGGCUUUGACGGGUAGCCGGCCUGAGAGGGUGACCGGCCACAUUGGGACUGAGAUACGGCCCAGACUCCUACGGGAGGCAGCAGUGGGGAAUAUUGCACAAUGGGCGGAAGCCUGAUGCAGCAACGCCGCGUGCGGGAUGACGGCCUUCGGGUUGUAAACCGCUUUCGCCUGUGACGAAGCGUGAGUGACGGUAAUGGGUAAAGAAGCACCGGCUAACUACGUG
This 468-nucleotide ribosomal RNA is filed under the name uncultured bacterium. Its description in RNAcentral is "partial 16S ribosomal RNA". It matches the Rfam family "Bacterial small subunit ribosomal RNA", at positions 28 to 507 of the family's 1533-position model. The record is from RNAcentral.